This 505-nucleotide ribosomal RNA is filed under the name uncultured bacterium. RNAcentral's name for it is "partial 16S ribosomal RNA". It matches the Rfam family "Bacterial small subunit ribosomal RNA", at positions 28 to 507 of the family's 1533-position model. The record is from RNAcentral.
GACGAACGCUGGCGGCGUGCCUAAUACAUGCAAGUAGAACGCACAGUUUAUACCGUAGCUUGCUACACCAUAAACUGUGAGUUGCGAACGGGUGAGUAACGCGUAGGUAACCUGCCUGGUAGCGGGGGAUAACUAUUGGAAACGAUAGCUAAUACCGCAUAAUAUUGAUUAUUGCAUGAUAAUUGAUUGAAAGAUGCUAUUGCAUCACUACCAGAUGGACCUGCGUUGUAUUAGCUAGUAGGUGAGGUAACGGCUCACCUAGGCGACGAUACAUAGCCGACCUGAGAGGGUGAUCGGCCACACUGGGACUGAGACACGGCCCAGACUCCUACGGGAGGCAGCAGUAGGGAAUCUUCGGCAAUGGACAAAAGUCUGACCGAGCAACGCCGCGUGAGUGAAGAAGGUUUUCGGAUCGUAAAGCUCUGUUGUAAGAGAAGAACGGGUGUGAGAGUGGAAAGUUCACACUGUGACGGUAGCUUACCAGAAAGGGACGGCUAACUACGUG